This 500-nucleotide ribosomal RNA is filed under the name uncultured bacterium. RNAcentral's name for it is "partial 16S ribosomal RNA". It matches the Rfam family "Bacterial small subunit ribosomal RNA", at positions 30 to 523 of the family's 1533-position model. The record is from RNAcentral.
AUUGAACGCUGGCGGCAGGCCUAACACAUGCAAGUCGAGCGGAUGACGGGAGCUUGCUCCUUGAUUCAGCGGCGGACGGGUGAGUAAUGCCUAGGAAUCUGCCUGGUAGUGGGGGACAACGUUUCGAAAGGAACGCUAAUAACGCAUACGUCCUACGGGAGAAAGCAGGGGACCUUCGGGCCUUGCGCUAUCAGAUGAGCCUAGGUCGGAUUAGUUAGUUGGUGGGGUAAGGGCUCACCAAGGCGACGAUCCGUAACUGGUCUGAGAGGAUGAUCAGUCACACUGAAACUGAGACACGGUCCAGACUCCUACGGGAGGCAGCAGUGGGGAAUAUUGGACAAUGGGCGAAAGCCUGAUCCAGCCAUGCCGCGUGUGUGAAGAAGGUCUUCGGAUUGUAAAGCACUUUAAGUUGGGAGGAAGGGCAGUAAGCUAAUACCUUGCUGUUUUGACGUUACCGACAGAAUAAGCACCGGCUAACUCUGUGCCAGCCGCCGCCGUAA